Molecule: ribosomal RNA, 510 nt
Filed under: Bacillus zanthoxyli
Lineage: Bacteria; Bacillati; Bacillota; Bacilli; Caryophanales; Bacillaceae
Description: bacterial SSU rRNA
Rfam family: Bacterial small subunit ribosomal RNA
Source: RNAcentral
UGGGGGGGGGGGGGGUGCUAUACAUGCAGUCGAGCGAACUGAUUAGAAGCUUGCUUCUAUGACGUUAGCGGCGGACGGGUGAGUAACACGUGGGCAACCUGCCUGUAAGACUGGGAUAACUUCGGGAAACCGAAGCUAAUACCGGAUAGGAUCUUCUCCUUCAUGGGAGAUGAUUGAAAGAUGGUUUCGGCUAUCACUUACAGAUGGGCCCGCGGUGCAUUAGCUAGUUGGUGAGGUAACGGCUCACCAAGGCAACGAUGCAUAGCCGACCUGAGAGGGUGAUCGGCCACACUGGGACUGAGACACGGCCCAGACUCCUACGGGAGGCAGCAGUAGGGAAUCUUCCGCAAUGGACGAAAGUCUGACGGAGCAACGCCGCGUGAGUGAUGAAGGCUUUCGGGUCGUAAAACUCUGUUGUUAGGGAAGAACAAGUACAAGAGUAACUGCUUGUACCUUGACGGUACCUAACCAGAAAGCCACGGCUAACUACGUGCCAGCAGCCGCGGUAAU